UGGUUCCUACGGGAGGCAGCAGUGGGGAAUAUUGGACAAUGGGGGGAACCCUGAUCCAGCGACGCCGCGUGAGUGAAGAAGUAUUUCGGUAUGUAAAGCUCUAUCAGCAGGGAAGAAAAUGACGGUACCUGACUAAGAAGCCCCGGCUAACUACGUGCCAGCAGCCGCGGUAAUACGUAGGGGGCAAGCGUUAUCCGGAUUCACUGGGCGUAAAGGGAGCGCAGGCGGCACGGCAAGUCUGAUGUGAAAACCCGGGGCUCAACCCCGGGACUGCAUUGGAAACUGCCGGGCUGGAGUGUCGGAAG
Molecule: ribosomal RNA, 305 nt
Filed under: uncultured bacterium
Lineage: Bacteria
Description: bacterial SSU rRNA
Rfam family: Bacterial small subunit ribosomal RNA
Source: RNAcentral